GUCCCAAAUUAAAGCCUCAGCUCUUUUCUCCAAGAGCUCCCAAGAGUUGAAAAACACCCUCCUGCUUCAAGCUUCCUUUCCCUUGCAGACUUCUUGAGAAUCCCAAAACAUUUGAAGCCAGAUUCUGAAGACUGCUGGCCUCCUUGUACAGAUCUACUUUCUGGACUCAUGUACCCACACAAGCCUGCCUUUGGAAUGGUAGAGAGUUGACUGUGCUAUCAUGUUUGAAUCUUCAGGGAAGGUCUAUUCGGCUAGCCAUGAGACAUCAGAAAGGCUGCCUUUACCUUUGUGACAUCAUAAUCUUCUCAUUCACAGCAGAGAAAACACGAAGAUGACAGCCAGUGGUUUCAGAAAGGCAAGAAGCUCUUCGUCUGCAUUCACCUUUCUUUUCCCUUUUCACUGAAAGCGAAGAUCAACAUACGGG
This 424-nucleotide long non-coding RNA is filed under the name Pan troglodytes (chimpanzee). RNAcentral describes it as "long non-coding RNA NONPTRT014513". The record is from RNAcentral. Lineage: Eukaryota; Metazoa; Chordata; Mammalia; Primates; Hominidae.